This 429-nucleotide ribosomal RNA is filed under the name Verrucomicrobiota bacterium. Its description in RNAcentral is "Verrucomicrobia bacterium partial 16S ribosomal RNA". It matches the Rfam family "Bacterial small subunit ribosomal RNA", at positions 355 to 776 of the family's 1533-position model. The record is from RNAcentral. Lineage: Bacteria; Pseudomonadati; Verrucomicrobiota.
UAGGGAAUCUUCCGCAAUGGACGAAAGUCUGACGGAGCAACGCCGCGUGAGUGAAGAAGGAUUUCGGUUCGUAAAACUCUGUUGUUAGGGAAGAAAAAAUGUAUAGUAACUAUAUACAAAUGAGAUGGUACCUAACCAGAAAGCCACGGCUAACUACGUGCCAGCAGCCGCGGUAACACGUAGGGGGCAAGCGUUGUCCGGAAUUAUUGGGCGUAAAGCGCGCGCAGGUGGUUUAGAAAGUCUGAUGUGAAAGCCCACGGCUCAAACGUGGAGGGUCAUUGGAAACUAAUAAACGUGAGUGCAGGAGAGAAAAGUGGAAUUCCUAGUGUAGCGGUGAAAUGCGUAGAGAUUAGGAGGAACACCGGUGGCGAAAGCGGCUUUUUGGCCUGCAACUGACACUGAGGCGCGAAAGCGUGGGGAGCAAACAGG